Molecule: ribosomal RNA, 470 nt
Filed under: uncultured beta proteobacterium
Lineage: Bacteria; Pseudomonadati; Pseudomonadota; Betaproteobacteria
Description: bacterial SSU rRNA
Rfam family: Bacterial small subunit ribosomal RNA
Source: RNAcentral
GGAGGAAAGCAGGGGAUCGCAAGACCUUGCGCUCAUUGAGCGGCCGAUGCCUGAUUAGCUAGUUGGUGAGGUAAAGGCUUACCAAGGCGACGAUCAGUAGCUGGUCUGAGAGGACGACCAGCCACACUGGGACUGAGACACGGCCCAGACUCCUACGGGAGGCAGCAGUGGGGAAUUUUGGACAAUGGGGGAAACCCUGAUCCAGCCAUGCCACGUGAGUGAGGAAGGCCUUCGGGUUGUAAAGCUCUUUCAGCCGGAACGAAACGGUCACGGCUAAUACCUGUGACUACUGACGGUACCGGAAGAAGAAGCACCGGCUAACUACGUGCCAGCAGCCGCGGUAAUACGUAGGGUGCGAGCGUUAAUCGGAAUUACUGGGCGUAAAGCGUGCGCAGGCGGUUUUGUAAGUCAGAAGGGAAAUCCCCGGGCUUAACCUGGGAACUGCGUUUCAAAAAGGAAGCUAGAAGGGC